This 295-nucleotide unclassified non-coding RNA is filed under the name uncultured fungus. RNAcentral describes it as "partial contains 5.8S rRNA, ITS2 and 28S rRNA". It matches the Rfam family "Eukaryotic large subunit ribosomal RNA", at positions 668 to 961 of the family's 3401-position model. The record is from RNAcentral. Lineage: Eukaryota; Fungi.
AAGGAGCCUAACAUAUGCGCAAGUCUUUGGGUGGCAAGCCCAUGGGCAUAAUGAAAGUGAAAUAGUUUUAGUUUUAUUACAACAACCGGGCCGGGACAAUGGGUUUUAAUCCGUGUUCUGAGUUUACAAUUGAGCGUACAUGUUGGGACCCGAAAGAUGGUGAACUAUGCCUGGAUAGGUUGAAGUCUGCUGAAAGGCAGACGGAGGGCCGUAGCGAUACUGACGUGCAAAUCGUUCGUCAAAUCUGGGUAUAGGGGCGAAAGACUAAUCGAACCAUCUAGUAGCUGGUUCCCUC